This 495-nucleotide ribosomal RNA is filed under the name uncultured bacterium. Its description in RNAcentral is "partial 16S ribosomal RNA". It matches the Rfam family "Bacterial small subunit ribosomal RNA", at positions 28 to 507 of the family's 1533-position model. The record is from RNAcentral.
GAUGAACGCUGGCGGCGUGCCUAAUACAUGCAAGUCGAGCGAACAGACGAGGAGCUUGCUCCUCUGACGUUAGCGGCGGACGGGUGAGUAACACGUGGAUAACCUACCUAUAAGACUGGGAUAACUUCGGGAAACCGGAGCUAAUACCGGAUAAUAUAUUGAACCGCAUGGUUCAAUAGUGAAAGACGGUUUUGCUGUCACUUAUAGAUGGAUCCGCGCCGCAUUAGCUAGUUGGUAAGGUAACGGCUUACCAAGGCAACGAUGCGUAGCCGACCUGAGAGGGUGAUCGGCCACACUGGAACUGAGACACGGUCCAGACUCCUACGGGAGGCAGCAGUAGGGAAUCUUCCGCAAUGGGCGAAAGCCUGACGGAGCAACGCCGCGUGAGAUGAAGGUCUUCGGAUCGUAAAACUCUGUUAUUAGGGAAGAACAAAUGUGUAAGUAACUAUGCACGUCUUGACGGUACCUAAUCAGAAAGCCACGGCUAACUACGUG